RNAcentral lists this ribosomal RNA (1058 nucleotides) under Leitoscoloplos robustus. RNAcentral's name for it is "SSU rRNA". It matches the Rfam family "Eukaryotic small subunit ribosomal RNA", at positions 28 to 1082 of the family's 1831-position model. Lineage: Eukaryota; Metazoa; Annelida; Polychaeta; Orbiniidae. The record is from RNAcentral.
AUGCUUGACUCAAAGAUUAAGCCAUGCAUGUGCAUGUGCAUACCUAUACACGGUGAGACCGCGAAUGGCUCAUUAGAUCAGUCGUUGUUCCUUAGACGGAAGGUGCUACUUGGAUAACUGUGGCAAUUCUAGAGCUAAUACAUGCGAGAAAGCUCCGACCUUCGGGGAAGAGCGCAGUUAUUAGAUCAAGACCAACCGGGUCGAAAGGCCCGCAAGUCUGGUGACUCUGGAUAACCUCAGGCUGACCGCAUGGCCUCCGAGCCGGCGGCGCAUCUUUCAAGUGUCUGCCCUAUCAACUUUCGAUGGUAUGCGAUCUGCUUACCAUGGUGGUGACGGGUAACGGGGAAUCAGGGUUCGAUUCCGGAGAGGGAGCAUGAGAAACGGCUACCACCUCCAAGGAAGGCAGCAGGCGCGCAAAUUACCCACUCCUGGCACAGGGAGGUAGUGACGAGCAAUAACGACCCGGGACUCUUUCGAGGCCUCGGGAUCGGAAUGAGUAUAAUCUAAACACUUUAGCGAGGAACAAUUGGAGGGCAAGUCUGGUGCCAGCAGCCGCGGUAAUUCCAGCUCCAAUAGCGUAUAUUAAAGCUGUUGCAGUUAAAAAGCUCGUAGCUGAAUCUCGGGUCCAGGCGGGCAGUCCGCCUCGCGGCGAGUACGGCCCGUUUCCUGACCCAACUGCCGGUAUUCUCGGGGUGCUCUUGAUUGAGUGUUUCGGGUGGCCGGCACGUUUACUUUGAAAAAAUUAGAGUGCUCAAAGCAGGCCAGCGAGCCUGAAUACUAUAGCAUGGAAUAAUGAAAUAGGACCUCGGUGCUAUUUUGUUGGUCUCCGGUGCUCGAGGUAAUGAUUAAGAGGGACGGACGGGGGCAUUCGUAUUGCGGGGCGAGAGGUGAAAUUCUUGGACCCUCGCAAGACGAACAACCGCGAAAGCAUUUGCCAAGAAUGUUUUCCUUAGUCAAGAACGAAAGUCAGAGGUUCGAAGACGAUCAGAUACCGUCCUAGUUCUGACCAUAAACGAUGCCAACUAGCGAUGCGCGGGCGUUGUUGUCUGACCUCGCGC